AGGCCAGACUCCUACGGGAGGCAGCAGUGGGGAAUAUUGGGCAAUGGGCGCAAGCCUGACCCAGCAACGCCGCGUGAAGGAAGAAGGCUUUCGGGUUGUAAACUUCUUUUAAGAGGGACGAAACAAAUGACGGUACCUCUUGAAUAAGCCACGGCUAACUACGUGCCAGCAGCCGCGGUAAUACGUAGGUGGCAAGCGUUAUCCGGAUUUAUUGGGUGUAAAGGGCGUGUAGGCGAGAAAGCAAGUCAGAUGUGAAAACUAUGGGCUCAACCCAUAGCCUGCAUUUGAAACUGUUUUUCUUGAGUGCUGGAGAGGCAAUCGGAAUUCCGUGUGUAGCGGUGAAAUGCGUAGAUAUACGGAGGAACACCAGUGGCGAAGGCGGCCUGCUGGGCUUUUACUGACGCUGAGGCUCGAAAGUGUGGGGAGCAAACAGGAUUAGAUACCCCGGUACGG
RNAcentral lists this ribosomal RNA (453 nucleotides) under uncultured bacterium. Its description in RNAcentral is "bacterial SSU rRNA". It matches the Rfam family "Bacterial small subunit ribosomal RNA", at positions 328 to 793 of the family's 1533-position model. The record is from RNAcentral.